AUUGAACGCUGGCGGCAGGCCUAACACAUGCAAGUCGAGCGGAUGAAGGGAGCUUGCUCCUGGAUUCAGCGGCGGACGGGUGAGUAAUGCCUAGGAAUCUGCCUGGUAGUGGGGGAUAACGUCCGGAAACGGGCGCUAAUACCGCAUACGUCCUGAGGGAGAAAGUGGGGGAUCUUCGGACCUCACGCUAUCAGAUGAGCCUAGGUCGGAUUAGCUAGUUGGUGGGGUAAAGGCCUACCAAGGCGACGAUCCGUAACUGGUCUGAGAGGAUGAUCAGACACACUGGAACUGAGACACGGUCCAGACUCUGACGGGAGGCAGCAGUGCGGAAUAUUAGACAAUGGGCGAGAGCCUGAUCCAGCCAUGCCGCGUGUGUGAAGAAGGUCUUCGGAUUGUAAAGCACUUUAAGUUGGGAGGAAGGACAGUAAGUUAAUACCUUGCUGUUUUGACGGUACCAACAGAAUAAGCACCGGCUAACUUCGUG
This 484-nucleotide ribosomal RNA is filed under the name uncultured bacterium. Its description in RNAcentral is "partial 16S ribosomal RNA". It matches the Rfam family "Bacterial small subunit ribosomal RNA", at positions 30 to 507 of the family's 1533-position model. The record is from RNAcentral.